AUCGUGGCGGGAGACAGUGUCAGGUAGGCAGUUUGACUGGGGCGGUCGCCUCCUAAAAUGUAACGGAGGCGCCCAAAGGUUCCCUCAGAAUGGUUGGAAAUCAUUCGCAGAGUGUAAAGGUAGAAGGGAGCUUGACUGCGAGACUGACAAGUCGAGCAGGGACGAAAGUCGGGCUUAGUGAUCCGGUGGUUCCGUAUGGAAGGGCCAUCGCUCAACGGAUAAAAGCUACCCUGGGGAUAACAGGCUUAUCUCCCCCAAGAGUCCACAUCGACGGGGAGGUUUGGCACCUCGAUGUCGGCUCAUCGCAUCCUGGGGCUGUAGUCGGUCCCAAGGGUUGGGCUGUUCGCCCAUUAAAGCGGUACGCGAGCUGGGUUCAGAACGUCGUGAGACAGUUCGGUCCCUAUCCGUCGCGGGCGCAGGAAAUUUGAGAGGAGCUGUCCUUAGUACGAGAGGACCGGGAUGGACGUUCCGCUGGUGUACCAGUUGUGCCGCCAGGCGCAUCGCUGGGUAGCUAUGAACGGAAGGGAUAAACGCUGAAAGCAUCUAAGUGUGAAGCCCCCCUCGAGAUGAGAUUUCCCAUUCCUAUAUGGAAGUAAGACCCCUGAAAGAUGAUCAGGUAGAUAGGCUGGAAGUGGAAGUGCAGCGAUGCAUGGAGCGGACCAGUACUAAUCGGUCGAGGACUUAACCAA
This 689-nucleotide ribosomal RNA is filed under the name Lacticaseibacillus rhamnosus. RNAcentral's name for it is "partial 23S ribosomal RNA". It matches the Rfam family "Bacterial large subunit ribosomal RNA", at positions 2238 to 2925 of the family's 2925-position model. The record is from RNAcentral. Lineage: Bacteria; Bacillati; Bacillota; Bacilli; Lactobacillales; Lactobacillaceae.